RNAcentral lists this ribosomal RNA (538 nucleotides) under uncultured soil bacterium. Its description in RNAcentral is "bacterial SSU rRNA". It matches the Rfam family "Bacterial small subunit ribosomal RNA", at positions 868 to 1404 of the family's 1533-position model. The record is from RNAcentral.
ACCGCCUGGGGAGUACGGCCGCAAGGUUAAAACUCAAAGGAAUUGACGGGGACCCGCACAAGCGGUGGAUUAUGUGGAUUAAUUCGAUGCAACGCGAAAAACCUUACCUACCCUUGACUUGUACGGAAUCUCCCAGAGAUGGGAGGGUGCCCGAAAGGGAACCGUAACACAGGUGCUGCAUGGCUGUCGUCAGCUCGUGUCGUGAGAUGUUGGGUUAAGUCCCGCAACGAGCGCAACCCUUGUCAUUAGUUGCUACAUUUAGUUGGGCACUCUAAUGAGACUGCCGGUGACAAACCGGAGGAAGGUGGGGAUGACGUCAAGUCCUCAUGGCCCUUAUGGGUAGGGCCUCACACGUAAUACAAUGGCCGGUACAGAGGGUUGCCAACCCGCGAGGGGGAGCUAAUCCCAGAAAGCCGGUCGUAGUCCGGAUUGUUCUCUGCAACUCGAGAACAUGAAGUUGGAAUCGCUAGUAAUCGCGGAUCAGCAUGUCGCGGUGAAUACUUCCCGGGUUCUUGUUACACACCGCCCCGUCACACCA